RNAcentral lists this ribosomal RNA (473 nucleotides) under uncultured bacterium. RNAcentral's name for it is "bacterial SSU rRNA". It matches the Rfam family "Bacterial small subunit ribosomal RNA", at positions 28 to 499 of the family's 1533-position model. The record is from RNAcentral.
GAUGAACGCUGGCGGCGUGCUUAACACAUGCAAGUCGAACGAAGCAUUUAAAACAGAUUAUUUCGGUAUGAAGUUUUUUAUGACUGAGUGGCGGACGGGUGAGUAACGCGUGGGUAACCUGCCUUGUACUGGGGGAUAGCAGCUGGAAACGGCUGGUAAUACCGCAUAAGCGCACAAUGUUGCAUGACAUGGUGUGAAAAACUCCGGUGGUAUAAGAUGGACCCGCGUCUGAUUAGCUAGUUGGUGAGAUAACAGCCCACCAAGGCGACGAUCAGUAGCCGACCUGAGAGGGUGACCGGCCACAUUGGGACUGAGACACGGCCCAGACUCCUACGGGAGGCAGCAGUGGGGAAUAUUGCACAAUGGAGGAAACUCUGAUGCAGCGACGCCGCGUGAGUGAAGAAGUAAUUCGUUAUGUAAAGCUCUAUCAGCAGGGAAGAUAGUGACGGUACCUGACUAAGAAGCUCCGGCUA